GUGCUGUGAGGUAUGCUGGAGGUAUCAGAAGUGCGAAUGCUGACAUAAGUAACGAUAAAGCGGGUGAAAAGCCCGCUCGCCGGAAGACCAAGGGUUCCUGUCCAACGUUAAUCGGGGCAGGGUGAGUCGACCCCUAAGGCGAGGCCGAAAGGCGUAGUCGAUGGGAAACAGGUUAAUAUUCCUGUACUUGGUGUUACUGCGAAGGGGGGACGGAGAAGGCUAUGUUGGCCGGGCGACGGUUGUCCCGGUUUAAGCGUGUAGGCUGGUUUUCCAGGCAAAUCCGGAAAAUCAAGGCCGAGGCGUGAUGACGAGGCACUACGGUGCUGAAGCAACAAAUGCCCUGCUUCCAGGAAAAGCCUCUAAGCAUCAGGUAACAUCAAAUCGUACCCCAAACCGACACAGGUGGUCAGGUAGAGAAUACCAAGGCGCUUGAGAGAACUCGGGUGAAGGAACUAGGCAAAAUGGUGCCGUAACUUCGGGAGAAGGCACGCUGAUACGUAGGUGAAGCGACUUGCUCGUGGAGCUGAAAUCAGUCGAAGAUACCAGCUGGCUGCAACUGUUUAUUAAAAACACAGCACUGUGCAAACACGAAAGUGGACGUAUACGGUGUGACGCCUGCCCGGUGCCGGAAGGUUAAUUGAUGGGGUUAGCGCAAGCGAAGCUCUUGAUCGAAGCCCCGGUAAACGGCGGCCGUAACUAUAACGGUCCUAAGGUAGCGAAAUUCCUUGUCGGGUAAGUUCCGACCUGCACGAAUGGCGUAAUGAUGGCCAGGCUGUCUCCACCCGAGACUCAGUGAAAUUGAACUCGCUGUGAAGAUGCAGUGUACCCGCGGCAAGACGGAAAGACCCCGUGAACCUUUACUAUAGCUUGACACUGAACAUUGAGCCUUGAUGUGUAGGAUAGGUGGGAGGCUUUGAAGUGUGGACGCCAGUCUGCAUGGAGCCGACCUUGAAAUACCACCCUUUAAUGUUUGAUGUUCUAACGUGGACCCGUGAUCCGGGUUGCGGACAGUGUCUGGUGGGUAGUUUGACUGGGGCGGUCUCCUCCUAAAGAGUAACGGAGGAGCACGAAGGUUGGCUAAUCCUGGUCGGACAUCAGGAGGUUAGUGCAAUGGCAUAAGCCAGCUUGACUGCGAGCGUGACGGCGCGAGCAGGUGCGAAAGCAGGUCAUAGUGAUCCGGUGGUUCUGAAUGGAAGGGCCAUCGCUCAACGGAUAAAAGGUACUCCGGGGAUAACAGGCUGAUACCGCCCAAGAGUUCAUAUCGACGGCGGUGUUUGGCACCUCGAUGUCGGCUCAUCACAUCCUGGGGCUGAAGUAGGUCCCAAGGGUAUGGCUGUUCGCCAUUUAAAGUGGUACGCGAGCUGGGUUUAGAACGUCGUGAGACAGUUCGGUCCCUAUCUGCCGUGGGCGCUGGAGAACUGAGGGGGGCUGCUCCUAGUACGAGAGGACCGGAGUGGACGCAUCACUGG
Molecule: ribosomal RNA, 1469 nt
Filed under: Shigella flexneri
Lineage: Bacteria; Pseudomonadati; Pseudomonadota; Gammaproteobacteria; Enterobacterales; Enterobacteriaceae
Description: bacterial LSU rRNA
Rfam family: Bacterial large subunit ribosomal RNA
Source: RNAcentral